Molecule: ribosomal RNA, 865 nt
Filed under: uncultured Anaerolinea sp.
Lineage: Bacteria; Bacillati; Chloroflexota; Anaerolineae; Anaerolineales; Anaerolineaceae
Description: bacterial SSU rRNA
Rfam family: Bacterial small subunit ribosomal RNA
Source: RNAcentral
CCCCACACUGGGAACUGAAAACACGGUCCCAGACUCCUACGGGAGGCAGCAGUGAGGAAUAUUGCACAAUGGGCGCAAGCCUGAUGCAGCGACGCCGCGUGGGUGAUGAAGGUUUUCGGAUCGUAAAGCCUUUUCUAGAUGACGAGUAAGGACGGUAGUCUAGGAAUAAGUGUCGGCUAACUACGUGCCAGCAGCCGCGGUAAAACGUAGGACACAAGCGUUAUCCGGAGUUACUGGGCGUAAAGGGGCGUGUAGGCGGAACCUGUAAGUCUAUUCUGAAAGCUCCUAGGCUAAACUGGGAGAGGCGAAUGGAGACUGCAGAUCUAGAGUGAGGAAGAGGAAAGUGGAAUUCCGCGUGUAGUGGUGAAAUGCGUAGAGAUGCGGAGGAACACCAGUGGCGAAAGCGACUUUCUGGUCCUUAACUGACGCUGAGGCGCGAAAGCAUGGGGAGCGAACGGGAUUAGAAACCCCGGUAGUCCAUGCCAUAAACGAUGUUCACUAAACGUUCGUUUCCCGCGAGGGAAGCGGGUGUUGAAGCCAACGCAGUAAGUGAACCGCCUGGGGAGUACGGUCGCAAGGCUAAAACUCAAAGGAAUUGACGGGGGACUGCACAAGCAGCGGAGCGUGUGGUUUAAUUCGAGGCUACACGAAGAACCUUACCUGGGUUUGACAUCGUGUUGAAGUGCCCAUGAAAGUGGGUAUGCCUCGCAAGAGCAUUACGACAGGUGCUGCAUGGCUGUCGUCAGCUCGUGCCGUGAGGUGUUCGGUUAAGUCCGCCAACGAGCGCAACCCUCGGUGCCAGUUACAAGUGUCUUGGCGCGACUGCCCGUGGCAAGCGGGAGGAAGGUGGGAUGACGUCAAGUCA